RNAcentral lists this unclassified non-coding RNA (2518 nucleotides) under Hevea brasiliensis (rubber tree). The record is from RNAcentral. Lineage: Eukaryota; Viridiplantae; Streptophyta; Magnoliopsida; Malpighiales; Euphorbiaceae.
CAAAUACCAUGCAGAAUUCACACCUGUAUUCUCUCCUGAAAGGUUUGAGCUCCCUAACGCAUUCUUUGCAACCGCUCAAAGUGUUCGUGAUUCGCUCCUUAUUAAUUGGAAUGCUACAUAUGAUGUUUAUGAAAAGCUGAACAUGAAGCAAGCGUACUAUCUAUCCAUGGAAUUUCUGCAGGGUAGAGCAUUGUUAAAUGCAAUUGGUAAUCUGGAGCUUACCGGUGCAUUUGCGGAAGCUUUGAAAAACCUUGGCCACAAUCUAGAAAAUGUGGCUUCUCAGGAGCCAGAUGCUGCUCUUGGAAAUGGGGGUUUGGGACGGCUUGCUUCCUGUUUUCUGGACUCUUUGGCAACACUAAACUACCCAGCAUGGGGCUAUGGACUUAGGUACAAAUAUGGUUUAUUUCAGCAACGGAUCACAAAAGAUGGUCAGGAGGAGGUGGCUGAAGAUUGGCUUGAAAUUGGCAGUCCAUGGGAAGUUGUGAGGAAUGAUGUUUCAUAUCCUAUCAAAUUCUAUGGAAAAGUCUCUACAGGAUCAGAUGGAAAGAGGUAUUGGAUUGGUGGAGAGGAUAUAAAGGCAGUUGCAUAUGAUGUUCCCAUACCAGGGUAUAAAACCAGAACCACAAUCAGCCUUCGGCUGUGGUCUACACAAGUUCCAUCAGCAGAUUUUAAUUUAUCUGCUUUCAAUGCUGGAGAGCACACCAAAGCAUGUGAAGCCCAAGCAAACGCUGAGAAGAUAUGUUACAUACUCUACCCUGGGGAUGAAUCAGAGGAGGGAAAGAUCCUUCGGUUGAAGCAACAAUAUACCUUAUGCUCGGCUUCUCUCCAAGAUAUUAUUUCUCGAUUUGAGAGGAGAUCAGGUGAUCGUAUUAAGUGGGAAGAGUUUCCUGAAAAAGUUGCUGUGCAGAUGAAUGACACUCACCCUACACUUUGUAUCCCUGAGCUGAUGAGAAUAUUGAUUGAUCUGAAGGGCUUGAAUUGGAACGAAGCUUGGAAUAUUACUCAAAGAACUGUGGCCUACACAAACCAUACUGUUUUGCCUGAGGCACUGGAGAAAUGGAGUUAUGAAUUGAUGCAGAAGCUGCUUCCCAGACAUGUCGAAAUCAUUGAGGCUAUUGAUGAGGAGCUGGUACAUGAAAUUGUAUCAAAAUAUGGUUCACUGGAUCUGAACAAAUUGGAGGACAAGUUGACUACAAUGAGAAUUUUAGAAAAUUUUGAUCUUCCCAGUUCAGUUGCUGAAUUUUUUAUCAACCCUGAAAUCUCAGUUGAUGAUGAUACUGAAACACUAGAAGUCCAUGACAAAGUUGAAGCUUCUGAUAAAGUUGUGACUAAUGAUGAAGAUGACACUGGUAAGAAAACUAGUAUGAAGACAGAAGCCUCUGCAGAAAAAGACAUUGACAAGAAAACUCCUGUGAGUCCGGAACCAGCUGUUAUACCACUUAAGAAGGUACGCAUGGCCAACCUGUGUGUUGUGGGCGGCCAUGCUGUUAAUGGAGUUGCUGAGAUCCAUAGUGAAAUUGUGAAGGAGGAGGUUUUCAAUGGCUUCUAUGAGCUCUGGCCGGAAAAGUUCCAAAAUAAAACAAAUGGAGUGACUCCAAGAAGAUGGAUUCGUUUCUGCAAUCCUCCUCUUAGUGCCAUCAUAACUAAGUGGACUGGUACAGAGGAAUGGGUUCUGAAAACAGAGAAAUUGGCAGAAUUGCAGAAGUUUGCUGAUAAUGAAGAUCUUCAAAAUGAGUGGAGGGAAGCAAAAAGGAGCAACAAGAUUAAAGUUGUCUCCUUUCUCAAAGAAAAGACAGGGUAUUCUGUUGUCCCAGAUGCAAUGUUUGAUAUUCAGGUAAAACGCAUUCACGAGUACAAGCGCCAACUGUUAAAUAUCUUGGGCAUCGUUUAUCGGUAUAAGAAGAUGAAAGAAAUGAAAGCUGCUGAAAGAAAGACUAACUUCGUUCCUCGAGUAUGCAUAUUUGGGGGAAAAGCUUUUGCCACAUAUGUGCAAGCCAAGAGGAUUGUAAAAUUUAUCACAGAUGUUGGUGCUACUAUAAAUCAUGAUCCAGAAAUCGGCGAUCUGUUGAAGGUAGUCUUUGUGCCAGAUUACAAUGUCAGUGUUGCUGAAUUGUUAAUUCCUGCUAGCGAUCUAUCAGAACAUAUCAGUACGGCUGGAAUGGAGGCCAGUGGGACCAGUAAUAUGAAGUUUGCAAUGAAUGGUUGUAUCCAAAUUGGUACAUUGGAUGGCGCUAAUGUUGAAAUAAGGGAAGAGGUUGGAGAAGAAAACUUCUUUCUCUUUGGUGCUCAAGCUCAUGAAAUUGCAGGGCUUAGAAAAGAAAGAGCUGAUGGAAAGUUUGUACCUGAUGAACGUUUUGAAGAGGUGAAGGAAUUUGUUAGAAGCGGUGCUUUUGGAUCUUAUAACUAUGAUGACCUAAUCGGAUCAUUGGAAGGAAAUGAAGGUUUUGGGCGUGCUGACUAUUUCCUUGUGGGCAAGGACUUCCCCAGUUACAUAGAAUGCCAAGAGAAAGUUGAUGAG